GGUGGACCCCGCGCGGCGUUUAUCCUGCGAACUCCCCCAGGGCCGGAAGGCAGCAAGGGUCAACGGGCUCUAGCGGGUGCGCGGGGUCCCCUGCG
RNAcentral lists this signal recognition particle RNA (95 nucleotides) under Mycobacterium sp. Its description in RNAcentral is "signal recognition particle sRNA small type". It matches the Rfam family "Bacterial small signal recognition particle RNA". From Rfam's summary of the family: The signal recognition particle (SRP) is a universally conserved ribonucleoprotein involved in the co-translational targeting of proteins to membranes. Archaeal SRP consists of a 7S RNA and homologues of the eukaryotic SRP19 and SRP54 proteins. The record is from RNAcentral. Lineage: Bacteria; Bacillati; Actinomycetota; Actinomycetes; Mycobacteriales; Mycobacteriaceae.